UGUUCUCCCAGGCGAUGCCAGCUGGAGCCAGUGAGUGAGGAAAUCGGAUAUUCAGCUGAAUAGAUGAUCUAAGCACGCUAUUAAAGGAAUGAAACCACUUUUUGGAGUAGAAGAACAGAUUGGAAGCUAUUGUGAACACCUAAGGGAGAGACAGAGAAUCCCAAGCAGGCUCCACACUGUC
Long non-coding RNA from Prionailurus viverrinus (fishing cat), 181 nucleotides. RefSeq lists it as uncharacterized. NCBI's taxonomy places the organism in Eukaryota, Metazoa, Chordata, Mammalia, Carnivora, Felidae. The transcript is spliced from 3 exons. The record is from RefSeq and is a predicted model, not a curated record.